Cryptomeria japonica (Japanese cedar) is the source of this 150-nucleotide small nucleolar RNA. RefSeq annotates it as small nucleolar RNA snoR135. The transcript has a single exon. Lineage: Eukaryota; Viridiplantae; Streptophyta; Pinopsida; Cupressales; Cupressaceae. The record is from RefSeq and is a predicted model, not a curated record.
UAAACAGUUUGUAUGGAGCAGAACCAUGUGUGUACAGCAAUAUGAUUUCUUCAUAUCUGCUGAAGAGGAACUGCAAUAGUAUUUGGUGGAAAGUGGGCAAUCGAGACUCAAAUUAUAAUGGGUUCUCUGAUAAUCAUUUUCCCAACAUUU